CCUACGGGAGGCAGCAGUGAGGAAUAUUGGUCAAUGGACGAGAGUCUGAACCAGCCAAGUAGCGUGAAGGAUGACUGCCCUAUUGGUUGUAAACUUCUUUUAUAUGGGAAUAAAAUGUUCCACGUGUGGGAUUUUGUAUGUACCAUAUGAAUAAGGAUCGGCUAACUCCGUGCCAGCAGCCGCGGUAAUACGUAGGAUCCGAGCGUUAUCCGGAUUUAUUGGGUUUAAAGGGAGCGUAGGUGGAUUGUUAAGUCAGUUGUGAAAGUUUGCGGCUCAACCGUAAAAUUGCAGUUGAAACUGGCAGUCUUGAGUACAGUAGAGGUGGGCGGAAUUCGUGGUGUAGCGGUGAAAUGCUUAGAUAUCACGAAGAACUCCGAUUGCGAAGGCAGUUCACUGGACUGCAACUGACACUGAGGCUCGAAAGUGUGGGUAUCAAACAGGAUUAGAUACCCUUGUAGUC
This 460-nucleotide ribosomal RNA is filed under the name uncultured bacterium. Its description in RNAcentral is "partial 16S ribosomal RNA". It matches the Rfam family "Bacterial small subunit ribosomal RNA", at positions 338 to 795 of the family's 1533-position model. The record is from RNAcentral.